RNAcentral lists this ribosomal RNA (460 nucleotides) under uncultured bacterium. RNAcentral's name for it is "partial 16S ribosomal RNA". It matches the Rfam family "Bacterial small subunit ribosomal RNA", at positions 338 to 795 of the family's 1533-position model. The record is from RNAcentral.
CCUACGGGUGGCAGCAGUGAGGAAUAUUGGUCAAUGGGCGCGAGCCUGAACCAGCCAAGUCGCGUGAGGGAUGAAGGUUCUCUGGAUCGUAAACCUCUUUUAUAAGGGCAUAGAGUGUGGGACGUGUCCUAUUUUGUAUGUACCUUAUGAAUAAGGAACGGAUAACUCCGUGACAGCAGCCGCGGUAAUACGGAGGAUCCGUGCGUUAUCCGGAUUUAUUGGGUUUAAAGGGUGCGUAGGCGGCAUUUUAAGUCAGAGGUGAAAGCCCGUGGCUCAACCAUAGAAUUGCCUUUGAAACUGGGGGUCUUGAGUAUGUGUGAGGCAGGCGGAAUGCGUGGUGUAGCGGUGAAAUGCGUAGAUAUAACGAAGAACACCAGUUGCGAAGGCAGCCUGCCAGGCCGUGACUGACGCUGAUGCACGAAAGCGUGGGGAUCAAACAGGAUUAGAUACCCUUGUAGUC